This 461-nucleotide ribosomal RNA is filed under the name uncultured bacterium. RNAcentral's name for it is "partial 16S ribosomal RNA". It matches the Rfam family "Bacterial small subunit ribosomal RNA", at positions 338 to 795 of the family's 1533-position model. The record is from RNAcentral.
CCUACGGGAGUCAGCAGUGAGGAAUAUUGGUCAAUGGGCGAGAGCCUGAACCAGCCAAGUCGCGUGAAGGAUGACGGCCCUACGGGUUGUAAACUUCUUUUGUCAGGGAGCAAUUGGGUCCACGCGUGGGCUUAGCGAGAGUACCUGAAGAAAAAGCAUCGGCUAACUCCGUGCCAGCAGCCGCGGUAAUACGGAGGAUGCGAGCGUUAUCCGGAUUUACUGGGUGGAAAGGGAGCGUAGACGGCUGUGCAAGUCUGAAGUGAAAGCCCAGGGCUCAACCCUGGGACUGCUUUGGAAACUGUGGAGCUAGAGUGCUGGAGAGGUAAGUGGAAUUCCUAGUGUAGCGGUGAAAUGCGUAGAUAUUAGGAGGAACACCAGUGGCGAAGGCGGCUUACUGGACAGUAACUGACGUUGAGGCUCGAAAGCGUGGGGAGCAAACAGGAUUAGAUACCCGGGUAGUC